CAUAUACCGAAAAUACUUGUCAUCAAAAUGGACAAAAAUGAAUGUAUCUAAUACUAAAAUGCGUCUAGAUACAUUCCCUUUUAUUCAUUUUGAUGACAAGUAUUUCCGGACGGAGGGAGUAGCUG
Non-coding RNA from Triticum aestivum (bread wheat), 125 nucleotides. Lineage: Eukaryota; Viridiplantae; Streptophyta; Magnoliopsida; Poales; Poaceae. The record is from Rfam.